Molecule: ribosomal RNA, 1003 nt
Filed under: Bacillus sp. (in: firmicutes)
Lineage: Bacteria; Bacillati; Bacillota; Bacilli; Caryophanales; Bacillaceae
Description: bacterial SSU rRNA
Rfam family: Bacterial small subunit ribosomal RNA
Source: RNAcentral
UGCAGNUCGAGCGGACCGACGGGAGCUUGCUCCCUUAGGUCAGCGGCGGACGGGUGAGUAACACGUGGGUAACCUGCCUGUAAGACUGGGAUAACUCCGGGAAACCGGGGCUAAUACCGGAUGCUUGAUUGAACCGCAUGGUUCAAUCAUAAAAGGCGGCUUCGGCUGCCGUUUACAGAUGGACCCGCGGCGCAUUAGCUAGUUGGUGAGGUAACGGCUCACCAAGGCGACGAUGCGUAGCCGACCUGAGAGGGUGAUCGGCCACACUGGGACUGAGACACGGCCCAGACUCCUACGGGAGGCAGCAGUAGGGAAUCUUCCGCAAUGGACGAAAGUCUGACGGAGCAACGCCGCGUGAGUGAUGAAGGUUUUCGGAUCGUAAAGCUCUGUUGUUAGGGAAGAACAAGUACCGUUCGAAUAGGGCGGUACCUUGACGGUACCUAACCAGAAAGCCACGGCUAACUACGUGCCAGCAGCCGCGGUAAUACGUAGGUGGCAAGCGUUGUCCGGAAUUAUUGGGCGUAAAGCGCGCGCAGGCGGUUUCUUAAGUCUGAUGUGAAAGCCCCCGGCUCAACCGGGGAGGGUCAUUGGAAACUGGGGAACUUGAGUGCAGAAGAGGAGAGUGGAAUUCCACGUGUAGCGGUGAAAUGCGUAGAGAUGUGGAGGAACACCAGUGGCGAAGGCGACUCUCUGGUCUGUAACUGACGCUCAGGCGCGAAAGCGUGGGGAGCGAACAGGAUUAGAUACCCUGGUAGUCCACGCCGUAAACGAUGAGUGCUAANUGUUAGAGGGUUUCCGCCCUUUAGUGCUGCAGCAGACGCAUUAAGCACUCCGCCUGGGGAGUACGGUCGCAAGACUGAAACUCANAGGAAUUGACGGGGGCCCGCACAACCGGUGGAGCAUGUGGUUUAAUUCAAAGCAACGCGCAGAACCUUACCAGGUCUUGACAUCCUCUGACAUCCCUAGAGAUAGAGCUUCCCCUUCCCGGGCAGAGUGACAGGUG